GCAGAACCAACCGGUCCAAAGGUACCGACCCAAAACCGCCUUAGAACCAACCGGUCCAAAGGUACCGACCCAAAACCGCCUUAGAACCAACAGGUCCAAAGGUACCGACCCGAAACCACAGCAGAACCAACCGGUCCAAAGGUACCGACCCAAAACCGCCUUAGAACCAACCAGUCCAAAGGUACCGACCCAAAACCACAGCAGAACCAACCGAUCCAAAGGUACCGACCCAAAACCGCCUUAGAACCAACCGAUCCAAAGGUACCGACCCAAAACCGCCUUAGAACCAACCGGUCCAAAGGUACCGACC
Molecule: long non-coding RNA, 310 nt
Organism: Poecilia latipinna (sailfin molly)
Lineage: Eukaryota; Metazoa; Chordata; Actinopteri; Cyprinodontiformes; Poeciliidae
Exons: 2
Source: RefSeq, a predicted model, not a curated record